GAUGAACGCUGGCGGCGUGCCUAAUACAUGCAAGUCGAGCGAACGGACGAGACUCUUGCUUCUCUGAUGUUAGCGGCGGACGUGUGAUUAACACGUGUCUAACCUACCUUUAAGUCUUGGAUCCCUUCGGGACACCUGAGCUCAUACCGGAUAAUAUUUUGAACCUCAUGGUUCCUUAGUGAUAUACGUUUUUUCUGUCUCUUAUAGAUGUUUCCUGGCUGCAUUAGCUAGUUGGUAAGGUAACGGCUUACCAAGGCAACGAUGCAUAGCGGAGAUGAGAGGGUGAUCGGACACACGGGAACGGAGACACGGUAAAGACGACUAAGGGAGGCAGCAGUAGGGAAUAGUACGCAAUGGGCGAAAGCAUGACGGAGCAAAGCCGCGUGAGUGAUGAAGGUCUUCGGAUCGUAAAAAUCUGUUAGUAGGGAAGAACAGAUGUGUAAGAAAAUGUGCACAUAUUGACGGUACCAAAACAGAAAGCAACGGCUAACUACGUG
RNAcentral lists this ribosomal RNA (497 nucleotides) under uncultured bacterium. RNAcentral describes it as "partial 16S ribosomal RNA". It matches the Rfam family "Bacterial small subunit ribosomal RNA", at positions 28 to 507 of the family's 1533-position model. The record is from RNAcentral.